CCCUUUCAGGAGGAUAGCCCUUAGAAAUGAGGAUUAAUACUCCAUAGUAUAACAAUUUCGCAUGUUAUUGUUAUUAAAGCUUCGGCGGAAAGGGAUGAGCAUGCGUCCCAUUAGCUAGUUGGUAAGGUAACGGCUUACCAAGGCAACGAUGGGUAGGGGGCCUGAGAGGGUUAUCCCCCACACUGGUACUGAGACACGGACCAGACUCCUACGGGAGGCAGCAGUGAGGAAUAUUGGUCAAUGGACGGAAAUCUGAACCAGCCAUGCCGCGUGCAGGAUGACUGCCCUAUGGGUUGUAAACUGCUUUUAUAUAGGAAGAAACCCUCUUACGUGUAAGAGGCUGACGGUACUAUAAGAAUAAGGACCGGCUAACUCCGUGCCAGCAGCCGCGGUAAUACGGAGGGUCCAAGCGUUAUCCGGAUUUAUUGGGUUUAAAGGGUACGUAGGCGGAAAUUUAAGUCAGUAGUGAAAGCCCGUCGCUUAACGAUGGAACUGCUAUUGAUACUGAAUUUCUUGAAUAUAGUUGAAGUAGGCGGAAUACGGCAUGUAGCGGUGAAAUGCAUAGAUAUGCCGUGGAACACCAAUCGCGAAGCAGCUUACUAAGCUAUUAUUGACGCUAAGGUACGAAAGCGUGGG
RNAcentral lists this ribosomal RNA (636 nucleotides) under uncultured bacterium. RNAcentral's name for it is "bacterial SSU rRNA". It matches the Rfam family "Bacterial small subunit ribosomal RNA", at positions 130 to 765 of the family's 1533-position model. The record is from RNAcentral.